CUUGCUGCCCCAGCCUCCUCCUAUUGUCAUGAACCAAGGCAGGUACCAAAGGAGCCUGCUUGGACCCCUCCCCAGCUCUACACGCCUUCCCUCCCAGAGUUAAGGCUCCCUCGCCUUCAGUCAAGGGCUGGUAUCCUUGUGGCCCGCGUCUCCCAACACCUCUUGUUCGUGGGUGGACUCCAGGGGGCUUGUGGGUUGGGCUAGGAGCAGCACCCAGGAUUUCUGCCACUUCUCUCUGAGGCUGUAGGGAAAUCUCCCUGGGAAGGGGUUUCACAUGAGAUGUCGUUCCCGAUCCCGGCUGCAAACAGGACUGGAACAAGUUCCUCGUGUCGUUUCACCACGUUACGCUCCCCGACACGUGGAAGGGAGACAGGAGUAUCGGGGGAGUAUGUCCACCCAGCACAGCCCUGAGGAAGACCCCAGGCUGGAGAGCCAAGAAUGGGCAAGGCUGAGCUCUUACAUCACUGAUGUUGGAGGGUAACACUAGCAAAGACAAGGACUUACACAGAGACUGACCAUGGCAUGGGACACACUGCUGCUUGGACAAAUCUGCCCCAGGGUCUGACAACCGAACCAGCCCCAGCUCCUGGAGUCAAGCGGGUAUGUGAUGAUUUCGGCCUUCAUUCUUAAGGAAAAAGGUUGGAUCAGCCCUUUGCAAGUGGGUACGCUACAGAUGGCUGCGACAACCCCAUCACGUACAAACCCGUUUCUGGCGAUGCCUUUUGCAGGAAUCAGCACCUCCUUUGAAGGUGAGCAGGCAGUGGUGUCAAGAAUUUCUGGGAUACCACCAAGGGGGAUGCAACAAUAGGAGCUGACUGUCAGGCCACGGUAUGAAGAAGGCUGAGAAUUUUUGGUGUGGAAUAUGCGUGAGCUGUGGAAUGUGCCAAAGCAGUGGCUACCUCCAAAGAACCACCUGCUCCAUGCCAGGUGUCGCAGAAAUGAGGACAUUCCUGCACACAGAACCUUUGUCAAUGUGGUAUCUUGAAAUAAAUCAUCAUGAUUAGCA
Malaclemys terrapin pileata is the source of this 1006-nucleotide long non-coding RNA. RefSeq lists it as uncharacterized. The transcript has 5 exons. NCBI's taxonomy places the organism in Eukaryota, Metazoa, Chordata, Testudines, Emydidae. The record is from RefSeq and is a predicted model, not a curated record.